Molecule: ribosomal RNA, 253 nt
Filed under: uncultured bacterium
Lineage: Bacteria
Description: partial 16S ribosomal RNA
Rfam family: Bacterial small subunit ribosomal RNA
Source: RNAcentral
UACGUAGGGGGCUAGCGUUGUCCGGAAUCAUUGGGCGUAAAGCGCGUGUAGGCGGCCCGGUAAGUCCGCUGUGAAAGUCGGGGGCUCAACCCUCGGAUGCCGGUGGAUACUGUCGGGCUCGAGUACGGAAGAGGCGAGUGGAAUUCCUGGUGUAGCGGUGAAAUGCGCAGAUAUCAGGAGGAACACCAAUUGCGAAGGCAGCUCGCUGGGACGUUACUGACGCUGAGGCGCGAAAGCUAGGGGAGCAAACGGG